RNAcentral lists this transfer RNA (73 nucleotides) under Danio rerio (zebrafish). It matches the Rfam family "tRNA". From Rfam's summary of the family: Transfer RNA (tRNA) molecules are approximately 80 nucleotides in length. The record is from Rfam by way of RNAcentral. Lineage: Eukaryota; Metazoa; Chordata; Actinopteri; Cypriniformes; Danionidae.
GUUUGGCUAGCUCAGUCAGUAGGGCAUGAGACUCUUAAUCUCAGGGUUGUGGGUUAGAGCCCCACGUUGGGCG